UGGGGAAUAUUGCGCAAUGGACGAAAGUCUGACGCAGCAACGCCGCGUGAGUGAUGAAGGCCUUCGGGUUGUAAAACUCUGUCUUCAGGGACGAUAAUGACGGUACCUGAGGAGGAAGCCACGGCUAACUACGUGCCAGCAGCCGCGGUAAUACGUAGGUGGCAAGCGUUGUCCGGAUUUACUGGGCGUAAAGGGUGUCUAGGCGGAAAGAUAAGUCAGAUGUGAAAUCUCGGGGCUCAACCCCGAAACUGCAUUUGAAACUGUCUAUCUAGAGUGCAGGAGAGGAGAGUGGAAUUCCUAGUGUAACGGUGAAAUGUGUAGAUAUUAGGAAGAACACCAGUGGCGAAGGCGACUCUCUGGACUGUUACUGACGCUGAAGCACGAAAGCAUGGGGAGCAAACAGGAUUAGAUACCCCCGUAGUCC
RNAcentral lists this ribosomal RNA (424 nucleotides) under uncultured prokaryote. Its description in RNAcentral is "bacterial SSU rRNA". It matches the Rfam family "Bacterial small subunit ribosomal RNA", at positions 355 to 796 of the family's 1533-position model. The record is from RNAcentral.